CAGUAGCCGCGGGAAUACAGAGGGUGCGAGCGUUAAUCGGAUUUACUGGGCGUAAAGCGUGCGUAGGCGGCUUCUUAAGUCGGAUGUGAAAUCCCUGAGCUUAACUUAGGAAUUGCAUUCGAUACUGGGAAGCUAGAGUAUGGGAGAGGAUGGUAGAAUUCAGGUGUAGCGGUGAAAUGCGUAGAGAUCUGGAGGAAUACCGAUGGCGAAGGCAGCCAUCUGGCCUAAUACUGACGCUGAGGUACGAAAGCAUGGGGAGCAAACAGGAUUAGAUACCCGCGUAGUCCCUGUCUCUUAUACA
RNAcentral lists this ribosomal RNA (301 nucleotides) under uncultured bacterium. RNAcentral's name for it is "partial 16S ribosomal RNA". It matches the Rfam family "Bacterial small subunit ribosomal RNA", at positions 509 to 808 of the family's 1533-position model. The record is from RNAcentral.